AUUGAACGCUGGCGGCAUGCCUUACACAUGCAAGUCGAACGGCAGCACGGGUGCUUGCCCCUGGUGGCGAGUGGCGAACGGGUGAGUAAUACAUCGGAACAUGUCCUGUAGUGGGGGAUAGCCCGGCGAAAGCCGGAUUAAUACCGCAUACGAUCCACGGAUGAAAGCGGGGGACCUUCGGGCCUCGCGCUAUAGGGUUGGCCGAUGGCUGAUUAGCUAGUUGGUGGGGUAAAGGCCUACCAAGGCGACGAUCAGUAGCUGGUCUGAGAGGACGACCAGCCACACUGGGACUGAGACCCGGCCCAGACUCCUACGGGAGGCAGCAGUGGGAAUUUUGGACAAUGGGCGAAAGCCUGAUCCAGCAAUGCCGCGUGUGUGAAGAAGGCCUUCGGGUUGUAAAGCACUUUUGUCCGGAAAGAAAUCCUUGACUCUAAUACAGUCGGGGGAUGACGGUACCGGAAGAAUAAGCACCGGCUAACUACGUG
This 485-nucleotide ribosomal RNA is filed under the name uncultured bacterium. Its description in RNAcentral is "partial 16S ribosomal RNA". It matches the Rfam family "Bacterial small subunit ribosomal RNA", at positions 30 to 507 of the family's 1533-position model. The record is from RNAcentral.